UACGGAGGGUGCAAGCGUUAUCCGGAUUCACUGGGCUUAAAGGGUGCGUAGGUGGGCAGGUAAGUCAGUGGUGAAAUCUCUGGGCUUAACCCAGAAACUGCCGUUGAUACUAUCUGUCUUGAAUAUAGUGGAGGUGAGCGGAAUAUGUCAUGUAGCGGUGAAAUGCUUAGAUAUGACAUAGAACACCCAUUGCGAAGGCAGCUCGCUACACUAUCAUUGACACUGAGGCACGAAAGCGUGGGGAUCAAACAGG
Molecule: ribosomal RNA, 253 nt
Filed under: uncultured bacterium
Lineage: Bacteria
Description: partial 16S ribosomal RNA
Rfam family: Bacterial small subunit ribosomal RNA
Source: RNAcentral